Molecule: ribosomal RNA, 494 nt
Filed under: uncultured bacterium
Lineage: Bacteria
Description: partial 16S ribosomal RNA
Rfam family: Bacterial small subunit ribosomal RNA
Source: RNAcentral
GACGAACGCUGGCGGCGUGCUUAACACAUGCAAGUCGAACGGUGAAGCGCCUUCCUUUUUGGUGGGUGUGGAUGAGUGGCGAACGGGUGAGUAACACGUGAGUAACCUGCCCCCUUCUUCUGGAUAACCGCAUGAAAGUGUGGCUAAUACGGGAUAUUCUGGGUCUGUCGCAUGAUGGGUCUGGGAAAGAUAUUGUUUCGGUGGGGGAUGGGCUCGCGGCCUAUCAGCUUGUUGGUGGGGUGAUGGCCUACCAAGGCGGUGACGGGUAGCCGGCCUGAGAGGGUGGACGGUCACACUGGGACGGAGACACGGCCCAGACUCCUACGGGAGGCAGCAGUGGGGAAUAUUGCACAAUGGGCGCAAGCCUGAUGCAGCGACGCCGCGUGAGGGAUGGAGGCCUUCGGGUUGUGAACCUCUUUCGCCAGUGAAGCAGGCCUGCCUCGUUUGUGGGUGGGUUGACGGUAGCUGGGUAAGAAGCGCCGGCUAACUACGUG